RNAcentral lists this ribosomal RNA (547 nucleotides) under Micromonas polaris. Its description in RNAcentral is "SSU rRNA". It matches the Rfam family "Eukaryotic small subunit ribosomal RNA", at positions 626 to 1184 of the family's 1831-position model. The record is from RNAcentral. Lineage: Eukaryota; Viridiplantae; Chlorophyta; Mamiellophyceae; Mamiellales; Mamiellaceae.
GCUCGUAGUUGGAUUUCGGUUGAGAACGGCCGGUCCGCCGUUUGGUGUGCACUGGCUGGUCUCAACUUCCUGUAGAGGACGCGCUCUGGGUUAACGCUCGGACGCGGAGUCUACGUGGUUACUUUGAAAAAAUUAGAGUGUUCAAAGCGGGCUUACGCUUGAAUAUUUCAGCAUGGAAUAACACUAUAGGACUCCUGUCCUAUUUCGUUGGUCUCGGGACGGGAGUAAUGAUUAAGAGGAACAGUUGGGGGCAUUCGUAUUUCAUUGUCAGAGGUGAAAUUCUUGGAUUUAUGAAAGACGAACUUCUGCGAAAGCAUUUGCCAAGGAUGUUUUCAUUAAUCAAGAACGAAAGUUGGGGGCUCGAAGAUGAUUAGAUACCAUCCUAGUCUCAACCAUAAACGAUGCCGACUAGGGAUUGCAGGAUGUUAAUUGAUGACUCCUGCAGCACCUUAUGAGAAAUCAAAGUUUUUGGGUUCCGGGGGGGAGUAUGGUCGCAAGGCUGAAACUUAAAGGAAUUGACGGAAGGGCACCACCAGGCGUGGAGCCU